GCAUAUGAGUUGGGGUAUGUGGAAGGGACAUGUUGGCAUACCCGAUUCAGUCAUCUUGUUAGCUAUGGUGCAGGCUACUACAGCUACUUGUUUGCGAAAUGCUUCGCUGCCACCAUCUGGCAAAAAGUAUUACACGAAGACCCGCUGUCGCCAGAUGCAGGGUCUGCCCUUCGUUUUAAAUUAUUGCAGCAUGGUGGAGCAAAAGACCCGGCCAUCAUAUUGAACGAUCUUGUUGGAGAGAGUAGUGCGAUAAGGAAUCAGAAUGGAGGACUCAUCCCGGACAUUACUAGCCUGGCUGAGGAGCUCACACUAUUCAACUAGAGCUUGCUUUCCUCGCAAAACGAGACCAAAGUAAAUUAGGGGCCAAUUUUGGAGGGAGGCAAACAAUUUUGAGGCAUGCAAACAAUUUUGAGGCAUGCUUCUCUCUUAUCCUUCAUCUUUCUUCUGUUUAAAUUAUUAAUCUGUUUUGUCUCUCGAAAUUUAUGCAUAAGUUCAAUUCUAUGCAUAUAAUUAAAUGUUUUUUAGUGGUAGGAAUUUAAUUGAAUGGGAGUAUUAAAUAUUUGUUGUGAUCAUGGUCUAAUAAUGUUGAGCAAUGGUUACCAGUCUAUAUAUAUAGGGAUAUGAGAUCAGUUUGGAAA
Long non-coding RNA from Salvia splendens (bonfire salvia), 638 nucleotides. RefSeq lists it as uncharacterized. Lineage: Eukaryota; Viridiplantae; Streptophyta; Magnoliopsida; Lamiales; Lamiaceae. The record is from RefSeq and is a predicted model, not a curated record. The transcript is spliced from 2 exons.